Molecule: unclassified non-coding RNA, 435 nt
Filed under: Hevea brasiliensis (rubber tree)
Lineage: Eukaryota; Viridiplantae; Streptophyta; Magnoliopsida; Malpighiales; Euphorbiaceae
Source: RNAcentral
AAAUCCACUAAAAAGUCCACCGUCCUAUCAACAAAAGGAAAGGAUAAAACGCCCUGAGAAGAGUGAUCAAGAAACUCAACUGGAGGAGGCAUUCCAGGGAUCCGGCUAUCUUUCCAAAAGAGAAGAAAAGAACCCUCUCGAGCUAGCCACCUAACAUUCGUCCGAACAAGAGGCUAAACAGCCCCAAUAGCUCUCCAAAUCGGUAAACCCGGACCAGCAAAAAGGGUGGAAGGAAGACCAACUGUCCCAUUUAAAUAUUUAGAGCGCAAAACUUCCAUCCAUAGAGAAGAAGAACCACAAAACAACUUAAAAGCUAGCCUCAUCAUAAAAACCUUAUUAACCAACUUCAAUCUGUGAAAACCUAACCCGCCAUCAGAUUUCGUAGAACAAACAGCAUCCCAAUUUACCAUCGAAACCCUAGUGCGAGCAGUAGAG